This is a non-coding RNA of Dipodomys ordii (Ord's kangaroo rat), 65 nucleotides long. The record is from Rfam. Lineage: Eukaryota; Metazoa; Chordata; Mammalia; Rodentia; Heteromyidae.
GGUGGCUCAGUGCUAGAGCACUUGCCUUGCAUGCAUGAGGCCCUGGGUUCAAUUCCUCAGCACCA